Microcebus murinus (gray mouse lemur) is the source of this 2849-nucleotide non-coding RNA. The record is from RefSeq and is a predicted model, not a curated record. Lineage: Eukaryota; Metazoa; Chordata; Mammalia; Primates; Cheirogaleidae.
CUCUCCCCCGCCCCCGGUCCCUGGGGCUUGGUGUGGGAUUGUUGACAAACCUGUGAUCGUUGGAACUCCAUUCAGGCCAUAAACAGGAGCCCAGCCUGGAGUUUGGACCCCUUAUUUGCUUAUUCUCCAUUAAGGAAUAAUGGAUGGAUCUCACAAUUGCUGUGAGAUGUUACUACCAUUGUAUAGACAAGGAAGUCAAGGCUGCCACCCUUGAAGUUACCCCAUUCAUCUGCACGGACAUCCAUGCCAAACCGAUCCGGCUUCACCAGUCCCAGCAGGUGCUGCCCGGUGUCCCUCUUCAGUCAACAUGAAAAAGAAAAGAACAAGCAACUGAAUGAUCCUCUGAUGGCCUCGAGGCCGUGGAUGGAGGAUGUCUCCAAGUACAAGCAGGUACUCUAGGCACAGGAAGACCAAGCUGAUUUUUUAACAGCAUGGUAUGGAAGAUCCAUCCAGUUCACCCCAUAAUAAGAAAGAGUCUUGUCUUCUCACCGAGGCAAUCGAGCCAACCUGAGUAUACUGGCCAUACAACAUACUCUUGACUGCUAACUGUGGGAUGGCUAAUUUGGUAUAUUUGUUAAUACAGGUUCUGAUGUAAGGAUAUCUUCUUCUUCCUUUUUUGUAUUUCGUUGUUUUUAUCAGCAACUAUAUUUUCCACUGAAGUAGAAAUUCAUAAGGAAAAAAUGAAAAAUAUAACUGCAAGCUAAUUGGCUUUGAUGCUUUGGGGGAUUCAUUUUAUUAUGGAAGAUUCAACUGAAAGAUAAAUGUACACACACAGCAUGAAAAAUAUCGACCCCACGGAAACCACAGGAGAAAGUUCAAUUGGCUUGCAAGGCUAUCUGAUUCAGAGGUGUACAUACAUAAACUAACUUUCAUUGUGUUUGUUUUAUUUAUACUUGUUUAUCUCUUCCAAGCAAAAACUUACUCAUUAUUUGAAAAAGAAUUCAAUGAAAGGGAGAAAAGGCUAAGAUAAGAGAAGAAACUGUUUUUAAGAAGUGUUUUCCUGAUACUUUACUUAAGGUUUUCAUUGCAUACUAGAUCAUUGUGUUGAAUUUUACAUUUUAACUGGUGCUUGCAAAUUUUUUUAUUUAAUAUAUUAACUUCUUUAGUUCUUGCCUAAGAAUACUUAUUUCUCAAGCAUUGAUAAGAGAAGAGUCCCCUCUGUCUGGGUAAUAAAGAAAAUAAGGUGGAUACAUAUCAGAGUCAAGUUUUCCACUAUUAUCUGGACUGAGGGGUAGGAGUCGUUGACAUUAAGAACAUCUUUUCAAGCCAAAUCCCUCUGACUGCUUCCAUAAGCCCAUGCUGAAAUCAUGAAUACCUAUGGUUGGACAGCAAAAAUACAUCUUCUCUUCUGAUGGGGCAUCUAGAAGUUUCAUUCCGUUCCUCAAAUCUCUAUGAACAAUGUAGAUUAAUCUUCAAACGAGAUAACCUUAAUAAAAAUAUGGUGCAAAGGUUUAAACAUUAUUUCACAUGGUAUUUUCUCAUUUACUAUUUCCCACAAUAUCACAAAAGUACAACUCUGUGACCUCAACUGCAGAUAUAGAAUAUGACAUAUACAAAAUGCCAUUACAAUGAAACACAAAAGGAGUCUGAUUUUUCUUGCAGUAGAAUUUAGAGCUAAGAAGCAAAUAACUAUAAACUGUAUUUCCAGUAUGAAAGAGCUGGAGGACCAGUAGAGCUAAACUUUAUAGUUUGCUUUUGAAAAAUUACAAUGAAAUGUUUCAGCAAAUUUCGUGCAAUGACUACAUUAGGUGGCAUAUUUGAAAAGACUUACAAGUAUCCAAAGGAUAUGCUCAUGUAAGGCUCUAAUAGGUGUAAAGGGUACAGUAGAGCAGGAGAAAGAAAUCACAGGCAAUAAUCAAUCAUAAAGAGAUCCAAAUUUUUUCAGGCAGAGUCCUCUAAUGUCCUUCUUCAGUCAGAGAGGAGGUACUUUAUCUUUGGAUGUGAAUUACGAAGAUACAUGUGACGUAUUUGAGUGUCAGGGGAGCCCAAGCACGAGUUACUGGGGGAUUUAUAUAAUCCCCAAUCACAUAGGUAAAGCCAGGCUGUAUGACAGGUCAAACCAGGUACAAACUAUCAAUCUGCGCCUUCUUUACAAACCCUAUAAAAACAUAUAAACAAGCCCCCACUUCUACCAUUGUGGAAUUCACACUUCUCUUAAUUCCCAAUAGAUCUGUGUUUCUGGAUUCCUGAUUCCUGAUCUGACUUCUGUCCUCAAACUCACUUACUCCCUGGACCCUUUGUUCCCCACCAACACUGGCUAUCUGCCUAAGUAUACUGAUUUGGUAGAGAAAAUAAGAAGAUGGAAACAUAAAACUUUAUCGACACCUUUUCUUUCUGUGCCUUAGUCUGUUUGUGUUGCUAUAUCAAAAUACCUGAAACUAGUUAAUUUAUAACAAUCAAAAAAUGUAUUGGCUUAUGGUUCUGGAGGCUGGGGAGUCCAAGAUGGAGAGACUGGCAACUGGUGUGGGCCUUGUUGCUGCAUAAUUUCAUGGCAGCAGAGGGACAAACAAGAGAGAGCAGGAGGGGCCAAACUCUCCCUUUUAUAACAGCACCAGUCCUGCCCAUGUGGGUGCAGCCCUGUGGCCUAAUCACCUCUUACAGGCCCACCCCUUAAAACUGUUACAAUGGCAAUUAACACAUUAACUGCCAUGUGAGUUGCAUUUAACUCACUAGUUUUGAGUUCGUUUUUAACUACCUAGUUAAAACUAGUUAAAUAGUAUUUAACUCACUAGCUUUGAGCCCCAGGCAUCAUGAAGCAUAUGUAACUCACACUUCUCUUUAUCUUGGGAACCCCUGGAACUAUUUUUCAAGUUGCAUAUAAUUCACGCACAGGAAACAAUAAAAAACAA